CCUACGGGAGGCAGCAGUGGGUAAUAUUGGACAAUGGGGGCAACCCUGAUCCAGCAAUGCCGCGUGUGUGAAGAAGGUCUUCGGAUUGUAAAGCACUUUCGACGGGGACGAUGAUGACGGUACCCGUAGAAGAAGCCCCGGCUAACCCUACAGCAGCCGCGGUAAU
RNAcentral lists this ribosomal RNA (166 nucleotides) under uncultured Acetobacter sp. Its description in RNAcentral is "partial 16S ribosomal RNA". It matches the Rfam family "Bacterial small subunit ribosomal RNA", at positions 338 to 524 of the family's 1533-position model. RNAcentral also lists the same sequence under 1 other name. Lineage: Bacteria; Pseudomonadati; Pseudomonadota; Alphaproteobacteria; Acetobacterales; Acetobacteraceae. The record is from RNAcentral.